RNAcentral lists this transfer RNA (402 nucleotides) under uncultured Microcystis sp. RNAcentral describes it as "bacterial LSU rRNA". The stretch from base 135 to 208 matches the Rfam family "tRNA". Lineage: Bacteria; Bacillati; Cyanobacteriota; Cyanophyceae; Chroococcales; Microcystaceae. The record is from RNAcentral.
AAGGGAGACCUAAUUCAGGUAUGGGACGAAAAAAAAGUAGCCCCUACCAAGAAUCAAUCCCAAAAGGUCGGAGCGAGGCAAAAUUGGCUUUCAAACUAGGUUCUGGGUUCACACAAGACCUGAAUCAGGAACAAGGGCUAUUAGCUCAGGUGGUUAGAGCGCACCCCUGAUAAGGGUGAGGUCCCUGGUUCGAGUCCAGGAUGGCCCACCUGUACAGGUGGCAAAAAGAAAGAAAAGAAGCGAGGAAUCAGCACCUGAUCUUACUUAUAUAGUAAGAGAGAAUGCUGGCUCUGAGUUCAGAGUCCAGAGGAACCUUGAAAACUGCAUAGAGCUAGGUGAAAAAGCCAAAAAAGAAGACCGCAAGGUCAAGCUAAUAAGGGCUAACGGUGGAUACCUAGGCAC